GGAAACGAUAGCUAAUACCGCAUAAGAGUAGAUGUCGCAUGACAUUUGCUUAAAAGGUGCAAUUGCAUCACUACCAGAUGGACCUGCGUUGUAUUAGCUAGUUGGUGGGGUAACGGCUCACCAAGGCGACGAUACAUAGCCGACCUGAGAGGGUGAUCGGCCACACUGGGACUGAGACACGGCCCAG
Molecule: ribosomal RNA, 187 nt
Filed under: uncultured Streptococcaceae bacterium
Lineage: Bacteria; Bacillati; Bacillota; Bacilli; Lactobacillales; Streptococcaceae
Description: partial 16S ribosomal RNA
Rfam family: Bacterial small subunit ribosomal RNA
Source: RNAcentral